CCGAGUUAGGGUCUUAUAGGCCCGACCUCCAACCCUUUGUUUACUAUACCAUGUUGCUUUGGCGGGCCCGCCUUUCGGGGCCGCCGGGGGCUUUCAUACCCUUGGUCAGUGCCUGCCAGUAGCCUUAUUAAAUUCUUUUUAUAAUUAUGUUGUCUGAGUAUAAAUAUAAAUCGUUA
Molecule: unclassified non-coding RNA, 176 nt
Filed under: uncultured Chaetothyriales
Lineage: Eukaryota; Fungi; Ascomycota; Eurotiomycetes; Chaetothyriales
Description: sequence contains ITS1
Source: RNAcentral